This 103-nucleotide small nuclear RNA is filed under the name Nannospalax galili (Upper Galilee mountains blind mole rat). The record is from RNAcentral. Lineage: Eukaryota; Metazoa; Chordata; Mammalia; Rodentia; Spalacidae.
AUGCUCCCUCAGCAGUGCAUAUACUAAAACUGGAGCUGUACAGAGAUCAGCAUGGCAUCUAUGUAAGACUGAUUCUCAGAUUCGGAAAGCAUUCCAUAUUUGA